CUGACUUCCCCCUUUGAUUUAUUAUAGCCAUGAAAUGCUCUGCUCUCUUCUCUUUUCCUUGCUGUCCCCCGGGGCUGGAGGAACACAGGCCUCCCAGGCACCCGGCCUCAACCUUGCUGGACUCCCGUCUCCUUCCAAGGGCUGGGCCUAGGGGCCAGAAACCGAGGUGAGUUGGGCAGCAAGGGGAGGAAGGGGAGGGACCCAGCUCUCAAAGGCAGGACCUUCAGGGGCAGGCAGCGUCUUGCCUGGGCAGAGAGUGAGGCAGGUGUGGAUUUGGCAGCAGCAGGCUCCCUAGGGUGGUGGGGGUGGAGGGCUCUGGGUCAACGCCUCAGUAAGGCUUGGGAACAGGCCUUGUCAUGUCUGAAGGCCUGGCAGCCCUCAAAUGCCAAAUAGUAGGUCACAGAAUGGUUUCUCUGUGACCCCUGACCCCGUAUUUGGAUUAAAGGGUAGCCAAAGUAGGCCUGGCUUAGGCCCAUCUGGGGAUUGGGCUGAGAAUCCAGAGGAAGGAAGGCCUGAGGCUCUGGUCCCCAGGUAGAUUCCGGGCUCCUCCAGGUCGCAGCUGGACAGCGCUCUGAGGCCUGGCCCACGGGGGGAGUCUGUCCAGCUCCUCGGCAGGCAAGGUGGCAGGAGCAUUUCUCCUAGCCCCUGUGCGGUGCCUGUGGUAAUGGGGCUGUUGGCGUUUUGCAAUGGGCCGGGGGUGGGGAGGCAGUGCACACAUGCUUCCUGUGGUGACUGAGCGCUUCCUGUUUUCUCAGGCGCCGGCCUUGCUGCUGCCGAUGUGGAAAGAGGGGCAGCUGCAGCCAGGGCGGCUCCAGGCUGGGCACCCUGACCCUGCCCAGAGGAGCCUAAGUGGGCCCACAACCCCCCAGGCCCCAGACCUGGGCAGUAGAUGGCCUGAGUUCGCCCCACAUGAAGCCCCUACCCCUCCCUUCCCCAACAGCUUCCACCAAGGGGAAGGGGCCAGGCAGGGCAGAGCAGUGGUCCAGGAGGCCAAAGGUCCAGGGGUGAGAGCUCCAGGCUGGGAGUCAGGGCACGUGGCUCUGGGCUCGGCUUUGUCUGGAGCUGAGCGCCGCUGGCCACCUCUCACCCACUCAGGCCUCUUUUUCUUUUUCUGGCACCAGGAGGUGGAAUCCUAGCCCAUUUCUGCCCACUCAUUGAACUUUACUUCCCAAGAGGCGAAGCUUUGGGGACGGCACUGAGGCUGGGCCUCCCAGGUGGGGUGUGGGGAAGACCUAGGGAGGGGGACUGGAGAGGCUGGAGGGGGUAGGAGAGCACAUGCCAGGUGGGGGCCAGGCUGAAACAAGGCUUGGCAAUGGGGGCCAGGACCAAUGUGAACAGAGAGAGUGGAGGGACAGAGGGACAUAGCGGGCGACAAGUUGAUUCAGAAGGACUCAAACAUGGGAGGAAGGUUGUAGGAACCUCUUCAUCCGGGCAAACCCCAGGAAAGGGUUUGACACCCCAUCAAAGGAAGACUGGUGGUCAUGUGCAGGAUGGGGGCAGGGCCAGGCUUCCCGUCUGCUAAGGGGAUGGAGGCCCCUGGAGUGUGACACGGGGGGCCUUGGAGACCGGUGCCUUUCCCCACCUGUCAGUCUGCCUAGAGGGUCAUCAUUAGGGUCAGGUCUUGGGAUUCAGUGCUGCCGUCUUCCUGAAUCUGUUUUGUUUUGUUUUAAGCUGAUAUUGCAAGAAAGGGAGGGGAGAUGACUUUGCUUCUUGUUGAGUUUGCUGACGGCGUCUGGCCUUUGGAGGAGGAACAUCUUCGCAGAAAGGCCAAGGCCCAAGCAAGCCCCUGGGGCCUGACCAGUCCACUGAUUGAACCAGCCACCCCCUUGGUCCAGGACGUUCUGAGAUGCCUGCCCCACGAGGAGCUCCCCCUAAAUCCCAAGAUCUACCAUCAUAGCACAGGGACCGGGCCCAGCCAAAGAGGCCUCAGAGGUCCCACAGAUCCUGAGACCCAGGCUGAGGGGCCAUUGGGCCAGGCUGGCCCUUACCAUCCUGUGCCCGCGGCCAGCCUGAGUGCUGAGUCUGCGGCACAGCAGCUGCUUCUGGCCACAAAGGCCCAGUUAUAAAUAAGCCCCAUGUGGCCAAGUCAUCAAUUCUGCAGAACUCUGGCCCAGCUGCAUCACUUCAGUGACCACAGGUCGGGCUGCCCAGGGUGGACCCCAGAACCCACCCACCCAGGCCAAAGGCUAAUAGGCUCGAAGCCUCCUUGGGUCCUCAAAUUUCUAUGUUUGAGCAUCUGCAGCUCUUGAAACUUAGGCCUCCCUGGACACAGGCCACAGAAGGGACAGGGCCCAUCCUGCCUGCACAGAGCCAGCAGCUAUUUACAAACCGAAACCCGGAGAAGUGAAGUAGCUGUGGCCAAAGUGGCUCCAGGCCCCCAGCCCCCACUCCCACUCCAUCCCCGGCAGUGCCCCCCCAUGGCUUCCUCUUUCCUUCCCACACAGCACCCCAACCUCCUACUGCCUGGCCAGCUCUGGACAACCUGAAGCUACCCCAUGGUGACCCCCAACCCCUUAGCCACCUGCCCAGGGCUCCCCUGCUCCUCUUUACCCCAGGACCCUGUAAGUGUGAGCUCCUUGAAGCAGCUCCCCGCCCCUGCACCACACACACUGGACCCAGCCCACCCCCGUCUGCACGAGGCACAUUCCCACAGUUCUCAGUUCCCCUUCAUGACUGGAAAAGCUCCAACCCAAUGGGCGCCAUGUUGCUGGCCCUUGCCUGAGGGCGGCUCCUUUGGGUGCCUUUGACCUUCACAGCAGACAAGUAGGGGGUCAGGAGAUGGGGUGUGCUCCUCUGGUAUCUGAGGGUUGCUUCUGGCGGGAGGCCAUCACCCUACUCGUUGUCAGCCCCCUCAUCAGGCAGGUGUGGAUUGUAGGCCCCUGUGCAGGGCAGAUUGGGUGGGGACAGAUGGACACGGGUGGAGACCACAGCUCAACACUGCUUAGGAGCUGGCGGAUCGGCUGGUGCUGCAGCAGCGACAGGGAGAGAGAGCAUAUGACCAUCCCUGGUGGCAGUGUCCCUCGCGUUGACACGAGGUUGACAGUUCCCCUCCAUCUGUAUUCCCCUCAGAAAAGGCCUGUUCUGUCAUCUCCGUCAUAAGAUGGAAACUGAGGCUCAGGGGGGACCAUGGGUCUGCGCGGCUAAAGGGUCUGGACUGAGAUUCUAGAUUCCACAAGGAAAAUCUAAACCCACGGCCUCCCUCUUCUGACACCUGGCUCCUCUGUGUACCUCAGUCUCUCUCCCAGAAGGGUGGACACUUCCCAGCACUGUGACAAGGAUGGAGCAGAGGGGUCUGGAGCUCAGGCCUCGGACCCCAGGGCACAUGGCCUUCCCUGGCCCUGCCAUCAGUGCCCACUGGCCCCUGCCUUUGCCACAGGCCCUGCCCCAUUCCUUCCCUCUGGCCACAUCCCCGCCGAGGGAAACCCCUGGGUGAGCGCCUCCUGCCCCAGGCAGCUGGCCCACGGAGUCCCACCUCUCCUCUCUGAGCCGCAGAUUUCAAUCUUGUGAAUUGUCACAAAUACCUGGAGCCAGGCCGGUCCUGGGUGUGAGCUGUCUAUACAGCUAGGGCUCGGCCCUUGCCCUUGGGGAACCCAUAGUCCUAUGGGGACUGCAGACAAGCCCUGUGAGCUUCAAGGGAGAAACUGAGGCCGUGGGACGCUGCCUGGGGGGGGGAGCGCUGCUAUUGGGAUGGGCCCUGAAGGACAGGAAGGAGUUCUCCAGCAAGAGCAGGGUGGAUCGGGGCUCAGUGCUGAGUCACAGCCCCGUGCCUGGCUUCUCGGCUCCCGUGGCCUGGAGGGCCGGUCCCUGCUGUGAACUCCUGCCCAUCUGUCAAGGCCCAUGGCCAUGCCAUAGCACGACCAGGCUUCGCCUGGCCUGGUGGCUCCUCACUUCCACUUCUCUCCUAGGGCCUGGAACAGACCCAGAGGUGAGGCUUCCUUGGUCCUAAUACACUUGCCAGCCCCACCCGGCCAGGCGUCUGCUCCCGGGCUCCAGCCCCCGCUGUCCUCUGCUCCGAAAAGCACCGUUUCCCUUUUCUGGGUGACCACACACGCCAUGCACAGGGAAUUUCCAUCGCAGCCUGCGGAGCCUCUGAUUCACUCAGGCCCCUCAUGCAGUUAACUCCUCCAGGUCUGGCCUCCUGCUCCAGCACCCUGGCUGCCCCCAGCCCUAGCCAGACCUCUGGGCCACUCUGCACUGACCUUGGGCCCCGUAGACUCCAAGAUGAAUUCGGCAACCAUCUCAGUGGCCCACUAGAGUCGGCUCACCUCCUCCACACUCAUAGAUCUAAGGCAGCUUUGGGCCGAACUCAGGUUUGUGGGCAAGACAAGCCUGGGCUUAAAUACUGAUUCUGGCCCUUAGUCCCUGUGUGGCCUGGAGCACAUGGAAGCACCCACCGUGAGCUGGUUUCUGUCUUUAAAAUGGAGAUAACUCCUGCCCGUGGCCUCUGAGCCUACGGCGGAACUCAGUAACUCUUAGUUUUUUUUCUUUUCAAAGAGCUUUGCCUACCCACUUGAAUCAAAUUGUGAAAUAUGAUAUAUCAAGAACUAUGUAAUGUUUUGAACAGCCAACAAUAAAAAAUUUAAAAAAAAAAAGAGCUUUGCUUGUCCUACCACAGAGUCCCUACCCCGGCCCUUCUCCUGGGCUGGCUCUCUCCUCCCAAUAGCUGGUUGCUCAAGGAGGGUGAGAGGGACGUGCAGCCUUGACCCCCAGGGUGGUGGGGCCUUGUCCAGUGGGCAGAGAAGCUGUCUCAGGCCUCUGCUCUACCAGCUUCCUGGCUCCCCACAUUUCUGCUUUUCCCAGGAGCAGUGGAGAGGCCUGGGGUGGGAGCUCCAAGGGGCUGAGGACUGAGAUGCUGAGCCCUGGGGACAGGGCUGAGCUUCCUUCUCUCUGGCGGGCACCUGGUCACACACAUAAUCAUACCUGCGUUCUCACGGGCCCAUGAGGUGUGUCCCGUUAUUGUUCCCAUUUUGCAGAUGAGGAGACUGAGGCCCCAAGAAGUGUCUUGCCCUCAGCCACAGAAUGAGAGAGGAGGGUCAGGGAUAGUAUUGAAGGUCUUCAGAGGUGAAGACCGAUCUCUGCAGGACUCAGUAAGCAUUUACAAAGGCCAACCAAGGAUGGACUUUAGUUCCAACAUGCACUAAUUGGAACCCUACUGUAUACCAGGUAAAGGCUUGCACAGAGUAGCCUUUAGUUGACCUAGCACCACUCCAAGACCUGUAGAACAGGGUGCCUGAGCUCUGGAGCAGGAGAGAGGGACGAACUCCCCAGAGGCCUUGUGGCCAAUCCCUGGGGGGAAGAUCCUGGUGAGCAUAGAGACCAGGGGACCUAGAGGGCAGAGGAUGGCAGAGGGGGCUCCACAGAGGAGGGUCUGGGUGGGGAAGCAGCUCCUCCUCAGUGAGCUGGUGUGGUGCUGCCCGUGGUGAGCAGACGGAAGUCGCUGUGGGUGGCGGUGGGUUUGAGGUGCCGGAGGCUGAGUGAUGUGGCCAGGAGGUGAGCGCCCCAUCUGUAGGCCUGGUCAGCCCGAGACAAGGGUGUGGUGGAGGGGGGGCUUCAAAUCCCAGCGCCUGGACUCUGAGGAGGCAGGACUCUGAGGAGGCAGGUGCUCUGGGGGUUUGUGCCUGGGGCUGCAGGGCUGGGGCACCCGAGAGGAAGGAGAGACUGAGGAAAGAUGGGGCAAACCGGGAAGGGGGCAGUCUGAGGAGGCAGCCCGAAGGAGGUGAGCCUUGAAAGAGAGGCCCUGGGGUGUGGAAGGCCGUGGGCCUGUGAGCCAAGGCUGUGGGAGAUUGAGAAAGAGGUUCUGGGAAUGUUGAGCAGCGCCUUCUGGCUGGGGUGGGGUUGGGGCUGCAUGGGGUGGAGGAGGGGGAGGCUGCUAGCUCCCGUGUUGGAGGCCCAGCGCAGGCUUAGAGGCUGAGAGCUAAGGAAGACUCCUGGGGAAAUAUCCGCAAGAGACCCACAGGCUUAGCUCAAGAACACAGGCCCUCGGGCCACUCUGCAGCAGCUCUGGCCCCACUGCCAGCCACGUGCCCUUGGGCAAGCCCCCUCACCUCCCUGGGCCGCAUCUCCCUCGUCUGUAAGGUGCCACUGAUCAGGUCUGCCCCCCAGGAACAAGGGGGGAAGGAGCCAAGGAAGGUAGACAGUAGGGGCCAGCCUGGCUUGCGCUUCAGGAGCAUCUGCCGUGGUUGCCAGCGAGGGUCAAGGUCUCAGGCAGACCUGAGCGUGCAUCUCCCUGAGGCCUGGAUUGACUGAGCCACUUCUGAGCCUCAGUGGCCACAUCUGUACCCGAGGGAUGAUCAUGGCACCAGCUUUAGACUCGGAUAGGAGCGAACGCACCCUGCAGUGGGCCCUUUGAUCUUGGAGUUAAAACCAAAUCCCACACUCCCCCCUUCGAGGUCCUACCCAACCUGGCCCUGUCUGGCCUCACCCCCUGCCAUUUUGGCUCUGUUCCCAGGGACCACCACCUCACCCUCCUGGGACAUGGGCGCUAGCUGGGCCCUGCUUGGAACUCUCCUUCCAGACACUGCCGGGUGCCCUCCCCCAGCUGCCUCUAGGGGUUGCUCAAAGGUGACCUUCUGGAGGAGGCCCUCCCUGGACAGGAGAGAUCACACCCUGGGGAAGCAGUCCAGGCUUCUCCCAGCUGCGAUGAUCCCCCUUCCCAGCGUCAUGGGAUUCCUCUCUAGUGGCCAUUACUUUCUGCAUGCGGGGACACACGCCAUCUACUGUGUCCCCGGCUCCUCUCCUACCGGAGAGCAGGCACCCUGAAGGCAGGGAUGCAAAGGCCUUCCUCCCCUGUCAGCCGGCAUGUGAAGGCCCUGGCCAAUAUCUGCUGGCCAUCUUCAAGCUCUAAGAAGCCAGCAGUGCUGUGACCAAAGUUUGGGGAGCGCUGAGGGGCCCUAGUGACCCAGGCUGGGGCCCCAGGGUCCUUUUCCCAAGUGUCUCAACCCUGAGAGGAAGUUGCAAGACAGCCAUCUCGGUGCUCGCCAUUUCCCUGCCCAGGCUCAGCUCGGUUGGGCCAACUUUCCCAGCCCUGGGCGUGAGGCCUGCGUUUUUGAACAUGCGCUGUCACAGCUCCUGGGGGACGGUUCAUAGGAAAAUAGGAGGGGUGACAUUUCCUCAUUUCCCAGGUCUUUUAGGCCGAGGGUGAGGGGUCUGCGAGGUCCGGGGUCAGGUUCCCCUCUGUGGACUCAAGCUUUGGGGACUCCUGCCCAUUUCCUGCUGCUUGCCUCCCCUGCAAUUGCGUUAGCACCCAGCCAACCCCCAUUGGCCACCAGCCCAGUGGGGGCAAAGGGCCACCCCACCCCAGGCCUGCCUGGCCUCCGUGUCACUCUGCAGGUCACCCACUUGUCCAACAGGGUGGGGAAAGAUCACCGACAGGCACUGCUGGUAGGAGGGUAAGAGGUACAAUGUUAUUAAGGUCAUAUGACAAUAGCUAUCUACUUACCGGUCUGUCAUCAAGUUAGAAGUGCGCAGCCCUUCAACCUGGUGAUUCAACUUUUGGAAAUUUAUCCCAAACAUAAGCCUGUUAUGUAUAAACGUGCACGUGUGUAAUUUACCACAUUUUAUUGGUUGCAGCCUUAUUUGCAGCAGCAGAAGACUGGAGACACCCACGUGCCCAUCAAUAGGGGACUGAUUACAGAGAUUAUGACCCUGGAAAAGGGUCCAGCAAUGAGAGUGAACACAGCGGGUUGUGACAGAAGAAGCCGGACCCCAGAGGCUGUGCACACCAUCCUUCUCUUCCUCUCAAGACUCAAAUCUGUUCAGAUAAAAACUAAGCUACAACAGUUAGAGAUGCUCAUGAAGAAAAGUAAGGGGUGGGAGCGGAGGUGUAGCUCACGGGAGGGCUCCCGGCUGGCACGCACCGGACCUGGGUCCUGCACAGUACCAAGCGGGGAAAGUGUAAGGAAAUAAUUUCUAAAAAAAAGCUAGGACAGAAGUAAAGGGACGUUUGAGGUGCUCUGGGUCCUGGCAAUCUUUUAUUUCUUUUUUUCUUUUCCUAAUUUAUUUUUUAAAAUUUUAUUUAUUUUUUUCAUUUUUUUUUUCUUUCCCCAGUGCUGGGUCAAACCCAGGCCUUAUAUAUGCUAGACAAGUGCUUUCCCAUUGAAUCACACCUUCAACCCUUCUUAAGUUGCUUAGGGUCUUGCUAAAUUGUUCAGAAUGGCCUCAAACUUGAGAUCCUCCUUCCUCAGCCUCCUCAGCAAUGUUUUCUUUCUUUCUUUUUUUUUGGUGGUGCUAGGGAUUGAACCCAGGCCCUUGUCUAUGUGAGGCAAGCACUCUACCAACCCAGCUAUAUCCCCAGCCCAAUGUUUCAUUUCUUGACCUGGAUAAUGUUUACACAGUGUUAGCUUUAUAAUUAAAUUGUACAUAAAUAUUUUAUGUGCCCUUUUUUAUGAAUGUGUCUUUCAUGAUUUAAAAAUCUCACAGCCUAAGGAGGGGACACACACUUAUAGUUCCAGCUACUUAGAGACUGAAGCAGAAGGAUCUCUUGAGGUAAGAAUUGAGGAUAGCCAGACAAUAUAGCAAGACACUGUCCCCCCCAAAACAUCACAGCACAGAUGCUCCUCUGCAUCCUGGUAAACUAAGUAAAAAAUGCAAUUGUCCUAGCUCAGCAACACAGUGCACUGUAGCUCAGCCUUCACCCUCAAGAUCCUGUGGUGACCGAGGACUGUAGUGGCUGCCACUGCAGCAUCUGGAGAGUCUCGGAUUGCGUAUCACGAUUCCAAAUUCUGGGGCUGGGGUUGUGGCUCAGGGGUGGAGCGCUCGCCUAGCACAUGUGAGGCCCUGGGUUUGAUCAUCAGCACCACAUAAAAAUAAAUAAAUAAAAUAAAGGUAUUGUGUCCACCUACAACUAAAAAGUAAAUGUUUAAAAAAAAAAAGAUUCAAAAUUCAAGCUGAGCAUCGUGCACACCUGUAAUCCCAGCUAUUCUGGAGGUUGAGGCAGGAGUAUCACAAGUUCAAGGUCAGCUCAGCAAUUUAGUAAGAUCCUGUCUCAAAAACAAAAAGGAACCAGGGAUGCAGCUCAGUGUAAAGUCCUCUUGAUUCAGUCCCCGACACAGGAAAAAAAAGAAAUCAACAUUUGAAGAACUUCAGUAGAAAUUUUUACUGAACGUACCAUCCUUUUCAUACCAUCGUGAAGUCAAAAAAUCCCAAGUCGAACCAUUAAAUCAAAAAAUCCUAAAUUGAAGCAUCAUAAGGAAGGGACCUUCUGUACAUCUAAACAGUAAAAUACUAUACAGUCCUUAAGGAAGGGCAAGACAGCUCUGUAAUCAUUAAUAUGGAAUGGAUUUAGGGGAGAAGAAACAAGGGGAAGUAUAAUGUGUUUAGUGUGAUCCCUUCUGUAUAAAAUAGAACAUUGACUUUAUCUAUCUACAUGCUUAUGUCUGCUUAGUCCAUCUCUAAAUGGACACAAGAGGACCAGGUAACAGGGGAGACCGUCUGUGGAAG
This 9438-nucleotide long non-coding RNA is filed under the name Marmota monax (woodchuck). The record is from RNAcentral. Lineage: Eukaryota; Metazoa; Chordata; Mammalia; Rodentia; Sciuridae.